AACGAACGCUGGCGGCAUGCCUAACACAUGCAAGUCGAACGAAGGCUUCGGCCUUAGUGGCGCACGGGUGCGUAACGCGUGGGAACCUGCCCCCUCGGUUCGGAAUAACAGUUAGAAAUGACUGCUAAUACCGGAUGAUGACUUCGGUCCAAAGAUUUAUCGCCGAGGGGAUGGGCCCGCGUAGGAUUAGCUAGUUGGUGGGGUAAAGGCCUACCAAGGCGACGAUCCUUAGCUGGUCUGAGAGGAUGAUCAGCCACACUGGGACUGAGACACGGCCCAGACUCCUACGGGAGGCAGCAGUGGGGAAUAUUGGACAAUGGGCGAAAGCCUGAUCCAGCAAUGCCGCGUGAGUGAUGAAGGCCUUAGGGUUGUAAAGCUCUUUUACCAGGGAUGAUAAUGACAGUACCUGGAGAAUAAGCUCCGGCUAACUCCGUGCCAGCAGCCGCGGUAAUGUAGACGU
This 460-nucleotide ribosomal RNA is filed under the name uncultured bacterium. RNAcentral's name for it is "bacterial SSU rRNA". It matches the Rfam family "Bacterial small subunit ribosomal RNA", at positions 29 to 532 of the family's 1533-position model. The record is from RNAcentral.